Molecule: ribosomal RNA, 273 nt
Filed under: uncultured bacterium
Lineage: Bacteria
Description: partial 16S ribosomal RNA
Rfam family: Bacterial small subunit ribosomal RNA
Source: RNAcentral
GACGUAGGGGGCAAGCGUUGCCCGGAUUCACUGGGCGUAAAGCGGGUGUAGGCGGUCUGUUAAGUCGGAUGUGAAAUCUCCGGGCUCAACCCGGAAACUGCAUCCGAUACUGGCAGACUUGAGGACGGUAGAGGCCGGUGGAAUUCCCGGUGUACCGGUGAAAUGGACAGAUAUCGGGAGGAACACCAGUGGCGAAGGCGGCCGGCUGGGCCGAUCCUGACGCUGAGACCCGAAAGCCAGGGUAGCGAACCGGAUUAGAAACCCUAGUAGUCC